This 440-nucleotide ribosomal RNA is filed under the name uncultured Marinobacter sp. Its description in RNAcentral is "bacterial SSU rRNA". It matches the Rfam family "Bacterial small subunit ribosomal RNA", at positions 1092 to 1532 of the family's 1533-position model. Lineage: Bacteria; Pseudomonadati; Pseudomonadota; Gammaproteobacteria; Pseudomonadales; Marinobacteraceae. The record is from RNAcentral.
ACGAGCGCACCCUUAUCCCUAGUUGCCAGCACAUCAUGGUGGGAACUCUAGGGAGACUGCCGGUGACAAACCGGAGGAAGGUGGGGAUGACGUCAGGUCAUCAUGGCCCUUACGGCCAGGGCUACACACGUGCUACAAUGGCGCGCACAGAGGGCUGCAAACCCGCGAGGGGGAGCUAAUCUCACAAAACGCGUCGUAGUCCGGAUCGCAGUCUGCAACUCGACUGCGUGAAGUCGGAAUCGCUAGUAAUCGCGAAUCAGAAUGUCGCGGUGAAUACGUUCCCGGGCCUUGUACACACCGCCCGUCACACCAUGGGAGUGGAUUGCACCAGAAGUGGUUAGUCUAACCUUCGGGAGGACGAUCACCACGGUGUGGUUCAUGACUGGGGUGAAGUCGUAACAAGGUAGCCGUAGGGGAACCUGGGGUUGGAUCACCUCCUU